RNAcentral lists this transfer RNA (68 nucleotides) under Marmota monax (woodchuck). Its description in RNAcentral is "tRNA.Ala". The stretch from base 3 to 63 matches the Rfam family "tRNA", at positions 6 to 65 of the family's 71-position model. Rfam says of the family: Transfer RNA (tRNA) molecules are approximately 80 nucleotides in length. Their secondary structure includes four short double-helical elements and three loops (D, anti-codon, and T loops). Lineage: Eukaryota; Metazoa; Chordata; Mammalia; Rodentia; Sciuridae. The record is from RNAcentral.
GUUGUAGCUCAGUGGUAGAGUGCUUGCCUAGCACACAUGGGGCCCUGGGUUCAAUCCUCAGCACAACA